AAAAGAGCGCGUGAUGUGUUCGCAGUUAUGCGGUGGAACUGUUUUACCCAACAUCCCUACUUUUCAUGGGAUUAUUACAUUAAUGUACAAACUAAUUAUUUGUCGGUGUUGUCCUUUGGGGUGACUAAGCAGAUGACGAGGUAAACGGACCAAAAAAGCACUUUCCUAUUAUACGGUGAUGAGUGGAUUUUUCUGGAGAAGAACCCUGCUCAAAAUCUGUUAGCAUACUCUUAACUCUCUGGUCAGUUGUUGGUAAUACGGUGCCUGUUCUGAGAAAACCAUGAUAUUCACACAGUUCUUACACAACCUGCCUGCCUCUCACUGAGGAAAUCACCAUUACCAGGUUUCUGUUCCAUUCAGUAUACACUCAUGUGCUUUUGUACCAGGUGAUCCAAUGCUGACAAAAAAAACUUUUGGUGUAACAAGCAAGAGGACAAUGAAGCAUCUGCUGUCUAUAAGGCUAAAAUUACAGGUUAUGAAAAGCACCCCAUGGACUUUUGGGGGAAAAAAAAAAUAAAAGUGUUCCCUGACAAAAGCCUGUAACCUCCCACAUUAUAAUAUUUACUUGUGUUGUUUGUUCUGUCUGUAUGCCUUUCACUUUAUUGUUGUUUUUCCUUUGCUAGGCACUCCAUGAGGAUAUAAAUAAUUGAGUUUUUCUAUAUAUUUUCUUUUAUAAUUAUCAGAUAUAAUAAUCAGCAAGUUUCUUACACUGGAUUUUUUUUUACAACCAAUAAUAUAGAUAAAAGUUCAGUCGGUGGUGUACUUACAGUUACUUGACUUUGUCACAGCUCAGUGUCAUGCCGUGUGCUCUACAUUCCUUUCCUGGAGAAAACAAAAAUAAAGGGAUAAUUAUGAAGCACAAA
Megalobrama amblycephala (Wuchang bream) is the source of this 863-nucleotide long non-coding RNA. RefSeq lists it as uncharacterized. The record is from RefSeq and is a predicted model, not a curated record. The transcript has 3 exons. Lineage: Eukaryota; Metazoa; Chordata; Actinopteri; Cypriniformes; Xenocyprididae.